GACGAACGCUGGCGUCGUGCUUAACACAUGCAAGUCGAACGGAGUGGCGAACGGGUGAGUAACACGUGGGUGACCUGCCCUGCACUUCGGGAUAAGCCUGGGCAACUGGGUCUAAUACCGGAUAGUGUGGGAUGGGCCCGCGGCCUAUCCGCUUGUUGGUGGGGUAAUGGCCUACCAAGGCGGCGACGGGUAGCCGUCCUGAGAGGGUGGACGGCCACAUUGGGAAAGAAACACAGGCCAGACUCGUACGGGAGGCAGCAGUGGGGAAUAUGGCACAAUGGGCGGAAGCCGGAUGCAGCGACGCCGCGUGGGGGAUGACGACCUUCAGGUUGUAAACUCCUUUCACCAUCGACGCGGGAGAUGGAGAAGAAGCACCAGCUAACUACGUGCCAGCAGCCGCGGUAAUAC
This 408-nucleotide ribosomal RNA is filed under the name uncultured bacterium. RNAcentral's name for it is "partial 16S ribosomal RNA". It matches the Rfam family "Bacterial small subunit ribosomal RNA", at positions 28 to 526 of the family's 1533-position model. The record is from RNAcentral.